GCUGUUAUAGCUCAGUCGGUAGAGCGCGUCAUUGGUAAUGACGAGGUCGGCAGUUCAAAUCUGCCUAACAGCUCCA
RNAcentral lists this transfer RNA (76 nucleotides) under Oscillospiraceae bacterium. Its description in RNAcentral is "tRNA-Thr". It matches the Rfam family "tRNA". Rfam says of the family: Transfer RNA (tRNA) molecules are approximately 80 nucleotides in length. Their secondary structure includes four short double-helical elements and three loops (D, anti-codon, and T loops). The record is from RNAcentral. Lineage: Bacteria; Bacillati; Bacillota; Clostridia; Eubacteriales; Oscillospiraceae. RNAcentral also lists the same sequence under 3 other names.